CCUACGGGUGGCUGCAGUGGGGAAUAUUGCACAAUGGGCGCAAGCCUGAUGCAGCCAUGCCGCGUGUGUGAAGAAGGCCUUCGGGUUGUAAAGCACUUUCAGCGGGGAGGAAGGCGGUGAGGUUAAUAACCUCAUCGAUUGACGUUACCCGCCGAAGAGGCACCGGCUAACUCCGUGCCAGCAGCCGCGGUAAUACGGAGGGUGCAAGCGUUAAUCGGAAUUACUGGGCGUAAAGCGCACGCAGGCGGUCUGUCAAGUCGGAUGUGAAAUCCCCGGGCUCAACCUGGGAACUGCAUUCGAAACUGGCAGGCUAGAGUCUUGUAGAGGGGGGUAGAAUUCCAGGUGUAGCGGUGAAAUGCGUAGAGAUCUGGAGGAAUACCGGUGGCGAAGGCGGCCCCCUGGACAAAGACUGACGCUCAGGUGCGAAAGCGUGGGGAGCAAACAGGGUUAGAUACCCUAGUAGUC
RNAcentral lists this ribosomal RNA (465 nucleotides) under uncultured Klebsiella sp. Its description in RNAcentral is "bacterial SSU rRNA". It matches the Rfam family "Bacterial small subunit ribosomal RNA", at positions 338 to 795 of the family's 1533-position model. Lineage: Bacteria; Pseudomonadati; Pseudomonadota; Gammaproteobacteria; Enterobacterales; Enterobacteriaceae. The record is from RNAcentral.